CCUACGGGUGGCAGCAGUGGGGAAUAUUGGACAAUGGGGGGAACCCUGAUCCAGCCAUGCCGCGUGUGUGAAGAAGGCCCUCGGGUUGUAAAGCACUUUCAGUGAGGAAGAACGCCUGGUGGUUAAUACCCAUCAGGAAAGACAUCACUCACAGAAGAAGCACCGGCUAACUCCGUGCCAGCAGCCGCGGUAAUACGGAGGGUGCGAGCGUUAAUCGGAAUUACUGGGCGUAAAGCGCGCGUAGGUGGCUUGAUAAGCCGGUUGUGAAAGCCCCGGGCUCAACCUGGGAACGGCAUCCGGAACUGUCAAGCUAGAGUGCAGGAGAGGAAGGUAGAAUUCCCGGUGUAGCGGUGAAAUGCGUAGAGAUCGGGAGGAAUACCAGUGGCGAAGGCGGCCUUCUGGACUGACACUGACACUGAGGUGCGAAAGCGUGGGUAGCAAACAGGAUUAAUACCCUUGUAGUC
This 464-nucleotide ribosomal RNA is filed under the name Vreelandella stevensii. RNAcentral's name for it is "partial 16S ribosomal RNA". It matches the Rfam family "Bacterial small subunit ribosomal RNA", at positions 338 to 795 of the family's 1533-position model. The record is from RNAcentral. Lineage: Bacteria; Pseudomonadati; Pseudomonadota; Gammaproteobacteria; Oceanospirillales; Halomonadaceae.